Molecule: ribosomal RNA, 600 nt
Filed under: Modicisalibacter zincidurans
Lineage: Bacteria; Pseudomonadati; Pseudomonadota; Gammaproteobacteria; Oceanospirillales; Halomonadaceae
Description: bacterial SSU rRNA
Rfam family: Bacterial small subunit ribosomal RNA
Source: RNAcentral
GCUGGAUGCCGACGAGCGGCGGACGGGUGAGUAAUGCAUAGGAAUCUGCCCAGUCGUGGGGGAUAACCUGGGGAAACCCAGGCUAAUACCGCAUACGUCCUACGGGAGAAAGCGGGGGCUUCGUGUUCUUCGGAAUGGGGACCUCGCGCGAUUGGAUGAGCCUAUGUCGGAUUAGCUGGUUGGUGAGGUAACGGCUCACCAAGGCGACGAUCCGUAGCUGGUCUGAGAGGAUGAUCAGCCACACCGGGACUGAGACACGGCCCGGACUCCUACGGGAGGCAGCAGUGGGGAAUAUUGGACAAUGGGCGCAAGCCUGAUCCAGCCAUGCCGCGUGUGUGAAGAAGGCUUUCGGGUUGUAAAGCACUUUCAGUGGGGAAGAAGGCCUGGCGGUCAAUACCCGCCAGGGACGACAUCACCCACAGAAGAAGCACCGGCUAACUCCGUGCCAGCAGCCGCGGUAAUACGGAGGGUGCGAGCGUUAAUCGGAAUUACUGGGCGUAAAGCGCGCGUAGGCGGCCAAGUAAGCCGGUUGUGAAAGCCCCGGGCUCAACCUGGGAAUGGCAUCCGGAACUGGUUGGCUAGAGUGCAGGAGAGGAAGGU